This 406-nucleotide ribosomal RNA is filed under the name uncultured bacterium. Its description in RNAcentral is "partial 16S ribosomal RNA". It matches the Rfam family "Bacterial small subunit ribosomal RNA", at positions 30 to 526 of the family's 1533-position model. The record is from RNAcentral.
AUUGAACGCUGGCGGCAGGCCUACCACAUGCAAGUCGAACGAGUGGCGGACGGGUGAGUAAUGUCUGGGAAACUGCCUGAUGGAGGGGGAUAACUACUGGAAAAGGUAGCUAAUACCGCAUACCAGACGAUGUGACCAGAUGGGAUGAGAUAGGUGGUGGGGUAACGGCUCACCAAGGCGACGAUCCCUAGCUGGUCUGAGAGGAUGACCAGCCACACUGGAACUGAUACACGUUCCUGACUCCUACGGGAGGCUGUAGUGUGGAAUAUUGCACAAUGGGCGCAAGCCUGAUGCAGCCAUUCCGCGUGUAUGAAGAAGUCCUUCGGGUUGUAAAGUACUUUCAGCGGGGAGGCGUUACCCGCAGAAGAAGCACCGGCUAACUCCGUGCCAGCCGCCGCGGUAAUUC